UCGGGAAUAUUGCGCAAUGGAGGAAACUCUGACGCAGUGACGCCGCGUAUGGGAAGAAGGUUUUCGGAUUGUAAACCAUUUUAGACAGGGAAGAAAAAAGACAGUACCUGUAAAAUAAGCUCCGGCUAACUACGUGCCAGCAGCCGCGGUAAUACGUAGGGAGCAAGCGUUAUCCGGAAUUAUUGGGUGUAAAGGGUGCGUAGACGGGAAAGCAAGUUAGUUGUGAAAUCCCUCGGCUUAACUGAGGAACUGCAACUAAAACUGUUUUUCUUGAGUGCUGGAGAGGAAAGUGGAAUUCCUAGUGUAGCGGUGAAAUGCGUAGAUAUUAGGAGGAACACCAGUGGCGAAGGCGACUUUCUGGACAGUAACUGACGUUGAGGCACGAAAGUGUGGGGAGCAAACA
RNAcentral lists this ribosomal RNA (403 nucleotides) under uncultured bacterium. RNAcentral describes it as "bacterial SSU rRNA". It matches the Rfam family "Bacterial small subunit ribosomal RNA", at positions 355 to 774 of the family's 1533-position model. The record is from RNAcentral.